UAUUGCACAAUGGGGGAAACCCUGAUGCAGCGACGCCGCGUGAAGGAAGAAGUAUUUCGGUAUGUAAACUUCUAUCAGCAGGGAAGAAAAAAGACGGUACCUGACUAAGAAGUCCCGGCUAACUACGUGCCAGCAGCCGCGGUGAUACGUAUGGUGCAAGCGUUAUCCGGAUUUACUGGGUGUAAAGGGAGCGCAGGCGGCACGGCAAGCCUGAUGUGAAAGCCCGCGGCCCAACCGCGGGACUGCAUUGGGAACUACCGGGCUGGAGUGCCGGAGAGGUAGGCGGAAUUCCUAGUGUAGCGGUGAAAUGCGUAGAUAUUAGGAGGAACACUAGUGGCGAAGGCGGCCUACUGGACGGUGACUGACGCUGAGGCUCGAAAGCGUGGGGAACAAACAGG
RNAcentral lists this ribosomal RNA (398 nucleotides) under uncultured bacterium. RNAcentral's name for it is "bacterial SSU rRNA". It matches the Rfam family "Bacterial small subunit ribosomal RNA", at positions 362 to 776 of the family's 1533-position model. The record is from RNAcentral.